AUAUUUACCUGCCAGGGGAGAUACCAUGAUCACGAAGGUGGUUUUCCCAGGGCGAGGUUUAUCCAUUGCACUCCGGAUGUGCUACCACCUGCAAUUUCCCCAAAUGUGGGAAACUCAACUGCAUGAUUUGUGGUAGUGGGGGACUGCGUUCGCGCUCUCCCUCA
Molecule: small nuclear RNA, 164 nt
Filed under: Echinops telfairi (small Madagascar hedgehog)
Lineage: Eukaryota; Metazoa; Chordata; Mammalia; Afrosoricida; Tenrecidae
Description: U1 spliceosomal RNA (ENSETEG00000021821.1)
Rfam family: U1 spliceosomal RNA
About the family: U1 is a small nuclear RNA (snRNA) component of the spliceosome (involved in pre-mRNA splicing). Its 5' end forms complementary base pairs with the 5' splice junction, thus defining the 5' donor site of an intron. There are significant differences in sequence and secondary structure between metazoan and yeast U1 snRNAs, the latter being much longer (568 nucleotides as compared to 164 nucleotides in human).
Source: RNAcentral